UACGGGGGGAGCAAGCGUUGUUCGGAUUUACUGGGCGUAAAGGGCGCGUAGGCGGUCGUGACAAGUCACUUGUGAAAUCUCCGGGCUUAACUCGGAACGGUCAAGUGAUACUGUCGGACUAGAGUACAGAAGGGGCAACUGGAAUUCCUGGUGUAGCGGUGAAAUGCGCAGAUAUCAGGAGGAACACCGGUGGCGAAGGCGGAUCUCUGGGCCAUUACUGACGCUGAGGAGCGAAAGCGUGGGGAGCGAACAGG
This 254-nucleotide ribosomal RNA is filed under the name uncultured bacterium. Its description in RNAcentral is "partial 16S ribosomal RNA". It matches the Rfam family "Bacterial small subunit ribosomal RNA", at positions 524 to 776 of the family's 1533-position model. The record is from RNAcentral.